AAGACCUUCUGACUUUCACUUUUAAUAUUAAAUUAUCUAAAGUUUUGUGAUAAGAAUUAUUUUUUAUUAUUGAAUACAGUUUACACAAUAUAAGAUAAUUUAAAUAUCCUUAGACACAGUUUUUAUUUAAUUUAUUAAGCAUAUAAAUUUGACUAUAACAAAUAUUAUUCAAAUUUUGAUUCUUAAUAUUAAAUUACCUAAUUAUUUUUGAUUGAAAUGAGUCCUAGAAUCUCUCACUCGUUUUGAUAUACAUUUUUACAAUAUUUGAUAAAA
This is a non-coding RNA of Cinara cedri, 273 nucleotides long. The record is from the annotation of a GenBank genome assembly. NCBI's taxonomy places the organism in Eukaryota, Metazoa, Arthropoda, Insecta, Hemiptera, Aphididae.